AUUGAACGCUGGCGGCGUGCUUAACACAUGCAAGUCGAACGGUAAGGCCCUUCGGGGUACACGAGUGGCGAACGGGUGAGUAACACGUGGGUGAUCUGCCCUGCACUUCGGGAUAAGCCAGGGAAACUGGGUCUAAUACCGGAUAGGACCACUGCCUGCAUGGGUGGUGGUGGAAAGCUUUUGCGGUGUGGGAUGGGCCCGCGGCCUAUCAGCGUGUUGGUGGGGUGAUGGCCUACCAAGGCGACGACGGGUAGCCGGCCUGAGAGGGUGACCGGCCACACUGGGACUGAGAUACGGCCCAGACUCCUACGGGAGGCAGCAGUGGGGAAUAUUGCACAAUGGGCGCAAGCCUGAUGCAGCGACGCCGCGUGAGGGAUGACGGCCUUCGGGUUGUAAACCUCUUUCAGCACCGACGAAGCGCAAGUGACGGUAGGUGCAGAAGAAGGACCGGCCAACUACGUGCCAGCAGCCGCCGUAA
This 478-nucleotide ribosomal RNA is filed under the name uncultured bacterium. RNAcentral's name for it is "partial 16S ribosomal RNA". It matches the Rfam family "Bacterial small subunit ribosomal RNA", at positions 28 to 523 of the family's 1533-position model. The record is from RNAcentral.